RNAcentral lists this ribosomal RNA (899 nucleotides) under Staphylococcus capitis. Its description in RNAcentral is "bacterial SSU rRNA". It matches the Rfam family "Bacterial small subunit ribosomal RNA", at positions 45 to 927 of the family's 1533-position model. Lineage: Bacteria; Bacillati; Bacillota; Bacilli; Caryophanales; Staphylococcaceae. The record is from RNAcentral.
AGCCUAAUAAUGCAGUCGAGCGAACAGACGAGGAGCUUGCUCCUCUGACGUUAGCGGCGGACGGGUGAGUAACACGUGGAUAACCUACCUAUAAGACUGGGAUAACUUCGGGAAACCGGAGCUAAUACCGGAUAACAUGUUGAACCGCAUGGUUCAACAGUGAAAGACGGUCUUGCUGUCACUUAUAGAUGGAUCCGCGCCGCAUUAGCUAGUUGGUAAGGUAACGGCUUACCAAGGCAACGAUGCGUAGCCGACCUGAGAGGGUGAUCGGCCACACUGGAACUGAGACACGGUCCAGACUCCUACGGGAGGCAGCAGUAGGGAAUCUUCCGCAAUGGGCGAAAGCCUGACGGAGCAACGCCGCGUGAGUGAAGAAGGUCUUCGGAUCGUAAAACUCUGUUAUUAGGGAAGAACAAAUGUGUAAGUAACUAUGCACGUCUUGACGGUACCUAAUCAGAAAGCCACGGCUAACUACGUGCCAGCAGCCGCGGUAAUACGUAGGUGGCAAGCGUUAUCCGGAAUUAUUGGGCGUAAAGCGCGCGUAGGCGGUUUUUUAAGUCUGAUGUGAAAGCCCACGGCUCAACCGUGGAGGGUCAUUGGAAACUGGAAAACUUGAGUGCAGAAGAGGAAAGUGGAAUUCCAUGUGUAGCGGUGAAAUGCGCAGAGAUAUGGAGGAACACCAGUGGCGAAGGCGACUUUCUGGUCUGUAACUGACGCUGAUGUGCGAAAGCGUGGGGAUCAAACAGGAUUAGAUACCCUGGUAGUCCACGCCGUAAACGAUGAGUGCUAAGUGUUAGGGGGUUUCCGCCCCUUAAGGCUGCAGCUAACGCAUUAAGCACUCCGCCUGGGGAGUACGACCGCAAGGUUGAAACUCAAAGAAAUUGACAGGGACCGGCACC